GUCUAGGUUUCCAACUGGGAUUGCAUUCUUUCGUCACCUAUAUAGUUUCAUAAUUCUAUGUUUAACAUGUUACACAAAGCCUAACUCUACUUUCACUUAUAUUACAAAACAGUUCACAAGAGGAUUACCUCAGUGAAUCUCAUCCUCUGAAAAAAGAAUAGAGCCUGAAAUAGCACAUAUGGAAGAUUUUCUAGUAUGGGAAGUCACUUUAAAAGGCUUCAUCAACUCUGGAAAUGAGAGGCUACUUAAAGGUUUAACUCUUUAAAAAAGAAUGCAAGAUUGAAAACUAAAAAGAAUACUUACUGCUCAGUUUCCAUUUGUUCCUCCUGCUUGCGUUUCCGAUCUCCAGCUUCUUUCUCAUGUUGGCCUUUUAGCAUGUUCCUCCUGUGAGCAGCCUGGAAGUUCCUUCCACCCUUUCUCUUCUGUUUGAGAACAGGAAGGAUGUAUUAAUAGUAACUCUCAAGUUAGUGGUUGGAGACUAAUAAUUACAAUCAUGGUAGGUAGAAAACAAAGCGACUAAGCUUAAGCCUAACAAACAGGAACACAGGUCUACUGACUGGAUAUUCUUCUUCUUUAGAAGUGAGCUAAGAAGCUAGCCAAAGUUGCUGGCUUUGAGCAGGCCAUGGUGGCACACACCCUUAACCUCAGCACUUAGGAGACAGAGCCUAGGUAGAUCCCUGUGAAUUCAAGGCCAGCCAGGUCUGCAGAGCAAGUCAGCCAGGUUGAAAUUACAAUGGAUAAAGAUUAAAGUUUAAUGUAUAAAUGCACCUUUUGUGUCUUUGAUCACAGACAUCUGGGUUAUCUACAACGUGUCUAUAUAGCUGGAGUACUGGAAGUUUACCUAUGUUCUAGAAAUUAAUUAUACUAUAAAAUAUAAAGUAUUUUUCAUAUAAACUGUAUACAUUUCAGUUAUGUAAUAUAUUAAAACAUAAAUAAUAAAGAAACCCAUAAAUCUUUUAAUAUUUGUUAAAGGUUAUUUAUACAUAUUAUAAUAUGUAUAUCUAGGAAAUAAAUUUACAAUGUAAUUGGGGAAAUAACCCCAUGGAUUAAAUGCUUCUUGUCCAAGAAUGAGGACCUGCCUUCAGAUCCCUAGCAUCCCCAUAGAAGUUGAGUAUGGCUGCAUAUAUCUGUACUUGAGGUGGCAGGGUAGAUAAGCUAACUAACUUCAGAUGGGGUAAUAAGCAGUCUAGCUUCAGAUUCAUUGAGACCCUGUCUCAAAAUGUAAAAGUGGUGGGGCCCAAUAGAUGGCACUACUUAAGGCUCAAUUCCCAACAUCCACGUGGAGGGAGUUUUGUGCCUAUCUCCAGUUUUCUAAGAGAUCUGUCUACACAUACUGCAGGCAAAGCAGUCACAUGAAGAAGAAAACAAUUAGCAUGAGGAAAAUGGAGCUGGGGACAUUGUUCAGCACUUUAAGAGGACCAAAACUCACAAUUCCCAUGGAACUGUGGUGGCCCACCUAUAAUUGCAGCCAAAGUUGCCACCAAGAUUAGCCUCAUGAGUUCGUGAGAGUUUGCUUGAGAGACACUACCCGCAUCAACCUUAGGCCUCCACAUCCCAUAUGCUGCACGAACACCUCACACAGAAACACACGGGGAGACAAACUGGCAAGGAGUUUCGAAUGUGGAUUCGCUACCUUUUCACCCUCUUGAUCGUCUUCGUCUUCUGAAUCAGAGGUUGAUGUAACCCCUGGUUUAGCUAAAUUUUUCCGUUUAGAUUCAACUUCUUUCUUCCCUUCUUUCUUAUCUGGUUCUUUUCUUGGCUUCUCUUCUUCCUUUUGGCCUUCUUCCUCUUUUUUAAGCUGCUUUUUAGGUUGUUUCUCCUCUGGUCCCUUUUUUUUACUUUUAUCUUCAUCAAUAACCCUACAUUAAGAGUUCAAGAGCAGAAGAUUUCAUUUAUACUUUUUCUUUCUUGAAAGAACUAUUUGUAUUUACUCAAGUGUCUGUGUGAGGAGCUAAGUUUCUGGAUGUGGGUGCUGGGAACCAAACUCUGCUCUACUAGAAGAAUAAUCAGUAAGUGCUCAGCCAUCUCUUCACCCUUUAUUUAUACUCUCCUUUACCAAACAAGGAUUUCACGAGGGAAAAUUAUGGCAAAAUUUAUGUUUAAAAAAAAAUACAGUUUGUCAUUCUAUUGUAAAACGGAAUUUUCAUUAUAUACAAUUUUUUGGAUGUUUCUUGCUCCUAUUUAGCAUAUAAACCCAAGGCCCUAUUAAAUUGAAUUACAUUUCACAUGUUUAUAAAAAUCACAGUCAUUUGUAGGGAUUGAACAUAACGUUAACCUAAUGACCAGUUACUUUUAACUGUCAUCCAAGCUAUGAAGAUCCCACAGGGAAUAGCGACAUAAAUGGUUCAAUCAGUUUAACUCAAGAAUCUAUUUUCUCUGCAGUUUUUAAGUAUAUUAACUGUUACUGUGUCUACAUUUUGAUGUUUUUUAAAGAGACAAAAGUUUUACUAUGUUACCCUUGCUGGCUGCAAAUGCCAAGGGACAUGAAUAACACAGUCUUGC
Molecule: long non-coding RNA, 2502 nt
Filed under: Mus musculus (house mouse)
Lineage: Eukaryota; Metazoa; Chordata; Mammalia; Rodentia; Muridae
Description: long non-coding RNA chr4:83463291-83465793
Source: RNAcentral